CCUACGGGAGGCAGCAGUGAGGAAUAUUGGUCAAUGGCCGUAAGGCUGAACCAGCCAAGUCGCGUGAAGGAAGAAGGAUCUAUGGUUUGUAAACUUCUUUUAUAGGGGAAUAAAGUUAUCCACGUGUGGAUAUUUGCAUGUACCCUAUGAAUAAGCAUCGGCUAACUCAGUGCCAGCAGCCGCGGUAAUACGGAGGAUGCGAGCGUUAUCCGGAUUUAUUGGGUUUAAAGGGUGCGUAGGUUGUUUUUUAAGUCAGCGGUGAAAGUUUGUGGCUCAACCAUAAGAUUGCCGUUGAUACUGGAAGACUUGAGUGUGUUUGAGGUAGGCGGAAUGCGUGGUGUAGCGGUGAAAUGCUUAGAUAUCACGAAGAACUCCGAUUGCGAAGGCAGCUUACUAAACUGCCACUGACAUUGAUGCUCGAAAGUGUGGGUAUCAAACAGGAUUAGAUACCCUUGUAGUC
This 460-nucleotide ribosomal RNA is filed under the name uncultured bacterium. Its description in RNAcentral is "partial 16S ribosomal RNA". It matches the Rfam family "Bacterial small subunit ribosomal RNA", at positions 338 to 795 of the family's 1533-position model. The record is from RNAcentral.